RNAcentral lists this ribosomal RNA (1452 nucleotides) under Phantasmarana apuana. RNAcentral describes it as "partial 16S ribosomal RNA". It matches the Rfam family "Bacterial large subunit ribosomal RNA", at positions 157 to 2624 of the family's 2925-position model. The record is from RNAcentral. Lineage: Eukaryota; Metazoa; Chordata; Amphibia; Anura; Hylodidae.
GCCAAAAAUCUAGCCCCUCUCUCCCCAUGUAAACUCAACAUUUCAGAUUAUAAAUUAAAACAUUUUAAUGAUAGAGUAAAGGCGAUUGAAAAAUUAACAGGAGCUAUAUAUAAUGUACCGCAAGGGAAAGAUGAAAUAAAAAUGAAAUAUUUAUUAAGCACUAAAAAGUAAAGAUUAACUCUUGUACCUUUUGCAUCAUGAUUUAACUAGUUUACCCUAGCAAAACGAUUUUUAGUUUGACUUCCCGAAACUAAGUGAGCUACUUCAAGGCAGCUUAAUGAGCAAAUCCGUCUCUGUUGCAAAAGAGUGGAAAGACCUUCAAGUAGGGGUGACAGACCUAACGAGCUUAGUGAUAGCUGGUUACUCAAGAAAAGGAUCUAAGUCCAACCUAAAGCUUAACUUAAUACCACAAAAUUAAUAAACCUAACUUUAGAGCAAUUCAAUUAAGGUACAGCCUACUUGAAACAGGAUACAACCUCAACUAAUGGGUUAUUUUAACCAUCAACACAUUUAAGUUGGCCUAAGAGCAGCCACCUUUUAAAUAGCGUCAAAGCUUAGCCAUGUAACUGUUUAAUCCCAACAACACCUUUUAACCCUUUACUACUAUUGAGUACUUCUAUAUACCUAUAGAACUUUUUAUGUUAAAACUAGUAACAAGAACCAGACCUUCUCUUAUAUGUCAGCGUACAUCAGUAAGGACACACCACUGAUAAUUAACAUCAAUGAACUAAAAGUAGCAACUCAACAAGAAAACUCUUCUUAACAAUAUGUUAAUCUAACACAAGUGCAUUUCAAGAAAGAUUUAAAGAAAAAGAAGGAACUCGGCAAACAUUAACCUCGCCUGUUUACCAAAAACAUCGCCUCUUGUAAAAAUUUAAGAGGUCCAGCCUGCCCAGUGACUCUGUUCAACGGCCGCGGUAUCCUAACCGUGCGAAGGUAGCGUAAUCACUUGUUCUUUAAAUAAGGACUAGUAUGAAUGGCACCACGAAGGUUACACUGUCUCCUUUUUCUAAUCAGUGAAACUAAUCUUCCCGUGAAGAAGCGGGAAUAAUUAUAUAAGACGAGAAGACCCUAUGGAGCUUUAAACAAAAUAACAACUGCUAACUAAAUCUUAAUUUCAGAAAACCAAUCUUUACCCAAGCAUUGUGAUUACUAGUUUUAGGUUGGGGUGACCGCGGAGCAAAAAACAACCUCCAUAUUGAAAGAAUCAUAAUUCUAAGCAAAAAGCUACAACUUUAAGCAUCAACAAAUUGACAUCUAUUGACCCAAUAUUGUGAUCAACGAACCAAGUUACCCUAGGGAUAACAGCGCUAUCCACUUUAAGAGCCCUUAUCGACAAGUGGGCUUACGACCUCGAUGUUGGAUCAGGGUACCCCAGUGGUGCAGCCGCUACUAAAGGUUCGUUUGUUCAACGAUUAAAACCCUACGUGAUCUGAGUUCAGACCGGAGUAA